AACUCAUAAGCCUGUGUCAGCUCAGACAAAUGCAUUCUUCCCAUUCUGAGCUGUUGACUUGUGCAUUUAUUUUGGAUUUGACCCUCUGGGGAAGGGGGCGGGGCCCCUGCCAACAGGAAGGCUCUGGGGCCUAGGGGGUUAAAUGAGGUCUCAGAAUGACUCUCUCAGGAGCCCAGUUCCCCUUUCAUCACCUCAUAGAGCCAGAAGGCCCCACUGUCCUGCCCGGCACCUGCCAUGGCUGUCGGUCUCCUGGGCUGUGUGGGCUUCUGCCUCCUGUGGGCAGGUUUGGUGAAUGCUGGCGUCACCCAGACCCCAAGAUUCCAGAUCCUGGAGACAGGACAGAACAUGACACUGAGAUGUGUCCAGGACAUGAACCAUGACUACAUGUACUGGUAUCGACAAGAUCCUGGGCUGGGGCUGAGGCUGAUCCAGUACUCAGGCACUGUUGGUUCCCCUAACAAAGGAAACAUCCCUGAAGGCUACAGUGUCUCUAGGUCAAGUACAAAGAACUUCCUCCUCACGCUGGAGUCUGCUACCCCCUCCCAGACAUCUGUGUACUUCUGUGCCAGCAGUGACUACACAGUGCUGCACGGCUGCCUCCUCUCUGCACAUAAAGGCAGGGGAGGCUCUGCACCCCCAGAAGUCAGCGAUGGCCUUGGCACAGUUCUCAGCACCAGGACACUGGAGCCCUAGGGGCCCGCGCAGUGUGGGCCUGGGUCUGUGCCAGGUGCACCUGCAGGAAGUCUCAGCCAGGCCUGGACUGAUCCCAGGCCUCAGGCACAGAUGGGUCUCCCUUGUUGUUGUCUCACCUUUCUGCUCAGCUGUCCCACUGGGGUGGAGACGGGGCUUCCCUGGCUCUGACUGUUCUAGUCAUUAGCCUGAGUCUGAGGCCUCCAGGAUGGAACGUGAUUUGUGUUCCAGCUACACGUAGAUCCCUGUCUCUGCCUGGGCGCCACGUGGCUCUCCCUGUAGGGUUCUCCCCCAUGCCCAGCCCUCACAUGGCCUCUGCUGCAGCCCCUUUCCCAUAUGGGCAGUCGCCCUGGGAAUCCUUCAUGGAUCUCUCCUCCCCCGCCCCUGACCCCCUACUCCAGCCAGGCUGCACAGACCCUCACCUGCGCCUCCCUCCUUCCCAUCACAGAGACUCAGAGGCCGUUUCCUCUGACCUGGGCAGGGAGCCUUCCUUUCCGUAGAGGCUAAUUCCCACCUGUGCUUCGGAUCUCAGCCAAAUCACCCCCUCCUGAGGGAAGCUUCCCCUCACCUCCCAGCUGAGGUCAAUUUCCCUCCCAUAAGCUCUCAUG
Molecule: non-coding RNA, 1298 nt
Organism: Lemur catta (Ring-tailed lemur)
Lineage: Eukaryota; Metazoa; Chordata; Mammalia; Primates; Lemuridae
Source: the annotation of a RefSeq genome assembly